RNAcentral lists this ribosomal RNA (253 nucleotides) under uncultured bacterium. RNAcentral describes it as "partial 16S ribosomal RNA". It matches the Rfam family "Bacterial small subunit ribosomal RNA", at positions 524 to 776 of the family's 1533-position model. The record is from RNAcentral.
UACGUAGGGAGCAAGCGUUGUCCGGAAUCAUUGGGCGUAAAGCGCGUGUAGGCGGUUCGGUAAGUCCGCUGUGAAAGUCGGGGGCUCAACCCUCGGAAGCCGGUGGAUACUGUCGAGCUAGAGUACGGAAGAGGCGAGUGGAAUUCCUGGUGUAGCGGUGAAAUGCACAGAUAUCAGGAGGAACACCAAUUGCGAAGGCAGCUCGCUGGGACGUUACUGACGCUGAGACGCGAAAGCGUGGGGAGCAAACAGG